AUGGGGGUGGAACUCAUGAUGGAACUGGAGCCUUUACAAGGGAAUGAAGAGACAAGAGCUCUCUUUAUGCCACGUGAGGAUACAGCAAGGCCCCAAUCUGCAAGCCAGGAAGAGUCCUCACGAGAACCAGACCAUGCAGGAACUCUGAUCGUGGACAUUUCAACCUCCAGAACUGUGAUCCAAAAUGCAUAUGUAUCUUUAGAAGAAACUCUGAAGUAAAGGCGAGAUUCUUUGUUUAAAACAUUAAAAACAAAACAGACCAAAACAUCAAGCAAGAAGUUUCCUGGCAAUAAACUAAGCACAGCAUUAUUUUUUAAGGAACACAAAUUAAGUAUUCAACCUGUGGCAAAUUUGUACUUUCUCCCUGAAUUAUGUUGUUUUCAAAGAAAAAAAUUGGAAAGGCUGGCAACAUAUCAUCAAAACUGAAACUAGAAUUAAACAAAACUAAACUAAAAUGAAAUAAAAUGAUGUCCAUUCUUAA
Long non-coding RNA from Nomascus leucogenys (northern white-cheeked gibbon), 481 nucleotides. RefSeq lists it as uncharacterized. The transcript is spliced from 2 exons. NCBI's taxonomy places the organism in Eukaryota, Metazoa, Chordata, Mammalia, Primates, Hylobatidae. The record is from RefSeq and is a predicted model, not a curated record.